ACAAUCUGAAAUGAGAAGUUGUGUCAGUUCAAACUUCAGGUGGGAAACUAUGCUACAGGCUCUAGCCUGUGAGGUCUGAAAGAUGCCUGGAUGACCCAAGCACGAUGCAAGCUCUCGCGUAUAGAAGAAACCAGAACCGACUAUCCCAGCCAAGAAACCCAAAGCAGCCGCAAUGGACAUUUCUUUAAUCAGUGUAAUGAUAUUCCAAGGAGAUAGGAUGUUUGGGAAGUGCUGAGUAUCCUACUAUCAUGCUCAGGGAGAGCUUGCUUUCCCUCCUCCAUCACGGGAGAACAUAGCAAGAAGGUGUGACUAUGCACCAGGAGGCUCUCACCAGAUGCCCAAUCUUCUGGCACCAUACUCUUGAGAUGUAGCCUCAAAACUGUGGGAGGACAAUGUCUACAUUAAGUGCUGAAUAAACAAAUGAACGCCCGUACAGGCGCAGACAGAGGAAUUACGUGCCGUCUCCUCUGCCCUUGUGUGUCCGCUCCAGCCUUGCGAGUACCGAGAGAGGGACACUGAUGCCCUAGAGUUCUUAGAAGUUUUGAAACUACUGGGAGAAAAACCGGGAUUACGAUUGGAAUGGAGAAUGGGGGAAGCAGCUCAAAGAGAGGUUAGUGUUGGUUCCAGAUAGUUGGAAAAUCAUAGUACCAGGAAUAUUAAAAUCUUCAUAACACAAUUAUAAGAAAAUUGAAAGAGUAACUGCUCUCAGUGAUUCUUUUUAGACAUUGUGAACAUCUGCGACUACUUGCUAGAGCAUGACUGUCUUCAGGAGAUGGUAGGUCAUAUACGGAGUACACAUAUGUAUGUCUAUACGCUUCUUACCUAAAUGAUUAUACAUGCACAUUUCCUGAAAAGCCUAGCAAUCUGCUAAACUGGGAGAUGACAAAUGUGGUUCUCUUUCCAAAGACCUAGAGAGGA
This is a long non-coding RNA of Mustela erminea (ermine), 918 nucleotides long. RefSeq lists it as uncharacterized. NCBI's taxonomy places the organism in Eukaryota, Metazoa, Chordata, Mammalia, Carnivora, Mustelidae. The transcript has 3 exons. The record is from RefSeq and is a predicted model, not a curated record.